GCGCACGCUGGCGGCAGGCCUAACACAUGCCAGUCGAACGAACUCUUCGGAGUUAGUGGCGGACGGGUGAGUAACACGUGGGAACGUGCCUUUUGGUUCGGAAUAACUCAGGGAAACUUGUGCUAAUACCGAAUGUGCCCUUCGGGGGAAAGAUUUAUCGCCAUUAGGGCGGCCCGCGUCUGAUUAGCUAGUUGGUGAGGUAACGGCUCACCAAGGCGACGAUCAGUAGCUGGUCUGAGAGGAUGACCAGCCACACUGGGACUGAGACACGGCCCAGACUCCUACGGGAGGCAGCAGUGGGGAAUCUUGCGCAAUGGGCGAAAGCCUGACGCAGCCAUGCCGCGUGAAUGAUGAAGGUCUUAGGAUUGUAAAAUUCUUUCACCGGGGACGAUAAUGACGGUACCCGGAGAAGAAGCCCCGGCUAACUUCGUG
Molecule: ribosomal RNA, 432 nt
Filed under: uncultured bacterium
Lineage: Bacteria
Description: partial 16S ribosomal RNA
Rfam family: Bacterial small subunit ribosomal RNA
Source: RNAcentral